UGCAAGUCGAACGGUAACAGGUUAAGCUGACGAGUGGCGAACGGGUGAGUAAUGUAUCGGAACGUGCCCAGUCGUGGGGGAUAACUGCUCGAAAGAGCAGCUAAUACCGCAUACGACCUGAGGGUGAAAGCGGGGGAUCGCAAGACCUCGCGCGAUUGGAGCGGCCGAUAUCAGAUUAGGUAGUUGGUGAGGUAAAGGCUCACCAAGCCGACGAUCUGUAGCUGGUCUGAGAGGACGACCAGCCACACUGGGACUGAGACACGGCCCAGACUCCUGCGGGAGGCAGCAGUGGGGAAUUUUGGACAAUGGGCGCAAGCCUGAUCCAGCCAUGCCGCGUGCGGGAAGAAGGCCUUCGGGUUGUAAACCGCUUUUGUCAGGGAAGAAAAGGUUCUGGCUAAUACCUGGGACUCAUGACGGUACCUGAAGAAUAAGCACCGGCUAACUACGUGCCAGCAGCCGCGGUAAUACGUAGGGUGCAAGCGUUAAUCGGAAUUACUGGGCGUAAAGCGUGCGCAGGCGGUUAUGCAAGACAGAGGUGAAAUCCCCGGGCUCAACCUGGGAACUGCCUUUGUGACUGCAUGGCUAGAGUACGGUAGAGGGGGAUGGAAUUCCGCGUGUAGCAGUGAAAUGCGUA
RNAcentral lists this ribosomal RNA (634 nucleotides) under uncultured Roseateles sp. RNAcentral describes it as "bacterial SSU rRNA". It matches the Rfam family "Bacterial small subunit ribosomal RNA", at positions 56 to 692 of the family's 1533-position model. The record is from RNAcentral. Lineage: Bacteria; Pseudomonadati; Pseudomonadota; Betaproteobacteria; Burkholderiales; Sphaerotilaceae.